UAUAGAUGGCGUCGCAGAGCAGGCUAUUCCGGAAAUUCGGUUGACGCGCUCAAGAGAUGGGCUGU
This 65-nucleotide non-coding RNA is filed under the name Lotharella oceanica. Lineage: Eukaryota; Cercozoa; Chlorarachniophyceae. The record is from RNAcentral.